Molecule: ribosomal RNA, 1307 nt
Filed under: Micromonas sp. RCC306
Lineage: Eukaryota; Viridiplantae; Chlorophyta; Mamiellophyceae; Mamiellales; Mamiellaceae
Description: eukaryotic LSU rRNA
Rfam family: Eukaryotic large subunit ribosomal RNA (bases 586-1307)
Source: RNAcentral
UGUCGUAACAAGGUUUCCGUAGGUGAACCUGCGGAAGGAUCAUUAUGGUUCAUCCAAACCACACGUGAAUUGUCACCUCGUGCGUUUCGUUUCACGACGGAGCGCGCGAACCCUCCCAAUACACCUUAAACCAGAGUAUGAAGCAGUAGAGUAUGAGUCAAUCUUUGACACUGCCUUUAACCGUAACAACUCUCAACAAUGGAUGUCUUGGCUCUCGCAACGAUGAAGAACGCAGCGAAAUGCGAUACGUAGUGUGAUUUGCACUAUCCGUGAACCAUCGAAUCUUUGAACGCAUAUUGCACUCGAGGCUUCGGCCAAGAGUAUGCCUGCCUGAGCGUCAGUGUGUACCCUCACCCCAAUUAAUUUUGGGAUGGAAAUGGACGUCCGAUCGGAACCUGCGAAGGUUUCGAUGGGUCGGCUGAAAGGCAGUCGCGGUGCGACCGAUCGCACGAUCAGCGUGAUAGACCUAUUCUUAGGACGGAUCGCUCGGUCAGAUCGGUAACACUUCGAUCCGAAUACUGGUGUGUGUCUCGACUCCGCGGGCCCUCGCGGCUGGUGGAAUAAGAGCCGUGCCAUCUCACCUUUUGACCUCAGUUCAGACAAGGCUACCCGCCGAAUUUAAGCAUAUUACUAAGCGGAGGAAAAGAAAAUAACAAUGAUUCCCCUAGUAACGGCGAGCGAACCGGGAAGAGCCCAACUUGAAAAUCUGGAGGCUUGUCCUUCCGAAUUGUAGUCUAGAGAAGUGCCAUCUGCGGCUGGCUGGUCGAAAGUUCCCUGGAAAGGGACGUCAGAGAGGGUGAGAGCCCCGUCACGAUCGGUUAAGUCGCUCCACGAUGCGCUUUCGAGGAGUCGGGUUGUUUGGGAAUGCAGCCCUAAGCGGGAGGUAAAUUCCUUCUAAGGCUAAAUAUUGGCGAGAGACCGAUAGCGAACAAGUACCGCGAGGGAAAGAUGAAAAGACCUUUGAAAAGAGAGUUAAAAAGUACCUGAAAUUGUUGAGGGGGAAGCGAUUGAAACCAGCGGGUGCUCCUCGGGUAGGGUCAAACCACACGCCGAGGGCUGGUCAACGUGGGUUAGUCGGGCGGGAUAUUACGCUUGAUUGACCGAGGACUCGACGUUGGCGGAAUGGUUUCAAUCGGCCCGUCUAGAAACACGGACCAAGGAGUCUAACAUGUGUGCGAGUCGGUGGGUGACAAACCCACGAGGCGCAAGUAACCUGACUGAGCAAAUUCGACCGACCAUGAUCUUCUGUGAAAGGUUUGAGUGCGAGCAUACAUGCUGGGACCCGAAAGAUGGUGAACUAUGCGUGA